Molecule: long non-coding RNA, 357 nt
Organism: Neopsephotus bourkii (Bourke's parrot)
Lineage: Eukaryota; Metazoa; Chordata; Aves; Psittaciformes; Psittacidae
Exons: 3
Source: RefSeq, a predicted model, not a curated record
AAAAACAACAGACUAUAGGCCAUGAUAUUUGACACUUUUUUUUUUUAACUUUAAUCACAUCCAGAUACUGAGAAUGAGGAGAAGACAGGGCAGUACCUAGCAGGAUGAAGAAGCUAUGCAAAUAAACAUGGACUAAUCCAUUGCCAUGCACUAUAAUGGAAGGACAUCCUGAUCACUGUGGAGCAGUAGCAACUUUACCUGGGGCCUGCAUGGAUGCAUGCCAGCCUGUCCUGCAGGAUAUAGUCCAGUGAAUAGGAGAAAAAAUGUGUUUGAACUUCGCAUAAUUGCAAUGAACAUAAAGUGACUGCCCACCGAAAGAAAAUGAAGAUGCAUCACUUCAGCUUUUAUAAGAAAGGG